Molecule: long non-coding RNA, 620 nt
Organism: Oncorhynchus keta (chum salmon)
Lineage: Eukaryota; Metazoa; Chordata; Actinopteri; Salmoniformes; Salmonidae
Exons: 3
Source: RefSeq, a predicted model, not a curated record
GAGAAAAGCUGCUUGGCUCCAUGGCUCAGGUGGCCAGGUGUGUGCUUCGGAGGAAAGCUGCUUGGCUCAGGUGGCUAGGUGUAUGCUACGGAGGAAAACUGCUUGGCUCAGGUGGCCAGGUGUGUGCUACGGAGGAAAGCUGCUUGGCUCAGGUGGCCAGGUGUAUGUUACGGAGGAAAGCUGCUUGGCUCAGGUGACCAGGUGUAUGUUACGGAGGAAAGCUGCUUGGCUCAGGUGACCAGGUGUAUGUUACGGAGGAAAGCUGCUUGGCUCAGGUGACCAGGUGUAUGUUACGGAGGAAAGCUGCUUGGCUCAGGUGACCAGGUGUGUGCUACGGAGGAAAGCUGCUUGGCUCAGGUGGCCAGGUGUGUGCUACGGAGGAAGAACUUUGCAGAUGUUUCUGAUUAAUAUACAAUGCCAUGCUGUUGGGUGGUUACAUUGAAAUAAAACACAGCGCUGACAAUAAAUGUAGACUGGAAAGUAUUAGCAUGUUAUGUCCUAUUGGGGAAACACAGCAAUGACAAUAAAUGUAGACUGGAAAGUAUUAGCAUGUUAUGUCCUAUUGGGGAAACACAGCAAUGACAAUAAAUGUAGACUGGAAAGUAUUAGCAUGUUAUGUC